RNAcentral lists this ribosomal RNA (484 nucleotides) under uncultured bacterium. Its description in RNAcentral is "partial 16S ribosomal RNA". It matches the Rfam family "Bacterial small subunit ribosomal RNA", at positions 28 to 507 of the family's 1533-position model. The record is from RNAcentral.
GAUUAACGCUAGCGGCAGGCAUAAUACAUGCAAGUUGAACGACAGCACAGGUAGCAAUACUGGGUGGCGAGUGGCGCACGGGUGCGUAACACGUAUGCAACCUACCCUAUACAGGCGAAUAACCUUUAGAAAUGAGGGCUAAUACGCCGUAGUAUUACAGAUGGGCAUCUAUUUGUAAUUAAAGAUUUAUCGGUAUAGGAUGGGCAUGCGUCCCAUUAGUUAGUUGGUAAGGUAACGGCUUACCAAGACGAUGAUGGGUAGGGGAUCUGAGAGGACUUACCCCCACACUGGUACUGAGACACGGACCAGACUCCUACGGGAGGCAGCAGUAAGGAAUAUUGGGCAAUGGCCGCGAGGCUGACCCAGCCAUGCCGCGUGCAGGAAGACGGCCUUAUGGGUUGUAAACUGCUUUUAUACGGGAAUAAUAGAGUGUACGCGUACAUUUAUGCAAGUAUCGUAUGAAUAAGCAUCGGCUAACUCCGUG